GCGGGUGUAGCUCAAUGGUAGAGCCCCAGCCUUCCAAGCUGGUGGUGAGGGUUCGAUUCCCUCUACCCGCUCCA
This 74-nucleotide transfer RNA is filed under the name Planctomycetota bacterium. RNAcentral describes it as "Planctomycetes bacterium tRNA-Gly". It matches the Rfam family "tRNA". From Rfam's summary of the family: Transfer RNA (tRNA) molecules are approximately 80 nucleotides in length. The record is from RNAcentral. Lineage: Bacteria; Pseudomonadati; Planctomycetota.